Molecule: long non-coding RNA, 1142 nt
Filed under: Heterocephalus glaber (naked mole-rat)
Lineage: Eukaryota; Metazoa; Chordata; Mammalia; Rodentia; Bathyergidae
Description: lncRNA (ENSHGLG00000041836.1)
Source: RNAcentral
UCCAAGGCGACAGUCGGGUUCAUUUUGGGCUAAACUGGGAGGGGGAGAGGAAAGCACAGCCCAUGCUCAUCUGAGGAGGAGUCUCCCCACUUCUCCACUGUGGCUCCGCCCGGGUGGGAAGGAGAGAGCCUUUGGCACAGGGGUGUGCGUGUGAAGUCGGGUCUCAUCCAGGUGCCUGCGCUUCUUCCAAGCUUCUUUACAUAUGGAAUCCAGUGUGUUCUUGAAUGUAAUCUGCCCAGGCGAAAAUGUGGUCACCGGGUGACUCUCACCAUCUACCAGUGAACAACUGACAUGUCCAGAUCCUAAUGAAAACUCCCAAGCGCAGGAAAACGAGGACCACGUGUCCACGGCCUGUUGACGGGAGCGGGGGACGCGGGCGUCUGGGCUUGGCCGCCAGGCACAGCUGCGUGGGCAGCGGCGCUCGCUAGCCCGGCCUGCCCCGUCCUGCGGCUUCUUUACACACGGUGGGUUCCAGUCUCUUCAAGUCAGGACUCUCCUCUUCCUGAGAGUCUGAUUCGAGUUCUGGGCCCUCACUUCUGAAACGUGCGGCGGACACUCACCUGCUGGAGCCCCGGGUCAAUCGGGUGCCGAGGUGGACCUCGAGCGUGCAGCCUUUGGGUGCUCGCCGGCUGGACUCGAACUCCGUGCUCUGACAUGAUGAAAUGGAGUGAGCUGCGAGGCGGCCUAUGAUCACAGCCAACCGUGAGAAUGCUGAUGUCUUCGUGCACUGCAUUCGCCACUUACAAACUCGGCCCUAGGGCCGGGGUUUAGUUCAGUGGUGCCGCCGCCUGCCCUGCAAGUGCAAGGACCGAGUUCGAUCUCCGGUACCAAAAAGAAAAAAAUAUCAUCACUGAGACUGCUGGGUGAUAUUGCGGCAGACAAUCCCUUUUGUGGGGACCACUCUGAAAUAUGGCCCUUCUGUUGCUUAAUCUAAAAUACCUUUUUUAUUCUUGUUUUGGUCGAGUGGUGUAUUUUGAAAAGUCCUGCAUGCCUAUUCUUUGCAGGGCAGGAAUUUUGGGUUGCAGGCUACAUAGAGGGCCCUUUGCAUUAUGUGACCUGAAACCACAUUUCUCCCCAAGUACUCUUUGGAACUUUCUCCUAAAAAUAACUCCAGAAAAAGGUCUUGUCAAAAGCCAUUAAAU